This 782-nucleotide ribosomal RNA is filed under the name Dioncopseudobenedenia kala. RNAcentral describes it as "partial 28S ribosomal RNA". It matches the Rfam family "Eukaryotic large subunit ribosomal RNA", at positions 72 to 639 of the family's 3401-position model. Lineage: Eukaryota; Metazoa; Platyhelminthes; Monogenea; Capsalidea; Capsalidae. The record is from RNAcentral.
GGAUUCUCUUAGUAACGGCGAGUGAAAAGAGAAGAGCCCAACAUCGAAGCCUCUACACAUUUGUGUAGACGGCAAUGUGAUGUAAUGGUCUUCGACUUCACAUGCUGGCUAACUUGAAGUCCAUAUUUGACUGUGGCUUGCGCGUAUGCACCCAGAGAUGGUGAAAGGCCCGUUCAAGUUGGUUUUCAGAUGUGACAGCUUGUGUAGAUUCGUUGACCAAUGAGUCGGAUUGCUUGAGAGUGCAGUCCAAAUGUGGUGGUAAACUCCAUCAAAGGCUAAAUACUGUUACGAGUCCGAUAGAUAACAAGUACCGUGAGGGAAAGUUGAAAAGUACUCUGAAGAGAGAGUAAAUAGUACGUGAAACUACAUGGAGGUUAAACAGAUGGAGUCAAGCUGUAUGCUGUUGUUCAAUGCAUUGGUCGUACGGUAUUACCUUUGUAUAGCACUGAGAUGUCGUUAGACAUGACCACUUGUGGUUUUGCGGGCAUUAAGUUGCCUGGCCUUAGUGUUUUACAUAUACGACUAGUGUUUAUGGCAGCAGCAGGUGCCACAGUCAAUUAUAUCUUCGGUGAGAUGUGUUCAGCAUUUGCGCUGGUGAACGAUUGCUCAUUAGUGCAAUAGUUAAACAGCUGGCUUGCUUUCAUCCUUGUAUGUUGGCUUGCCUAAAAGGGCCAAGGCCUGUUGAAUACAUCAUCGCAGUGAGAAUGAUUGGUGAUAUGUGCUCUUUAAUUUCUUGAAGCUGAGCAACUUUGUUGUCAUGUUUCAUGAAUGAGUGUAUGAAC